RNAcentral lists this ribosomal RNA (600 nucleotides) under bacterium Ca.S1. Its description in RNAcentral is "bacterial SSU rRNA". It matches the Rfam family "Bacterial small subunit ribosomal RNA", at positions 60 to 643 of the family's 1533-position model. The record is from RNAcentral.
AGUCGAGCGGACAGAAGGGAGCUUGCUCCCGGAUGUUAGCGGCGGACNGGUGAGUAACACGUGGGUAACCUGCCUGUAAGACUGGGAUAACUCCGGGAAACCGGAGCUAAUACCGGAUAGUUCCUUGAACCGCAUGGUUCAAGGAUGAAAGACGGUUUCGGCUGUCACUUACAGAUGGACCCGCGGCGCAUUAGCUAGUUGGUGAGGUAACGGCUCACCAAGGCGACGAUGCGUAGCCGACCUGAGAGGGUGAUCGGCCACACUGGGACUGAGACACGGCCCAGACUCCUACGGGAGGCAGCAGUAGGGAAUCUUCCGCAAUGGACGAAAGUCUGACGGAGCAACGCCGCGUGAGUGAUGAAGGUUUUCGGAUCGUAAAGCUCUGUUGUUAGGGAAGAACAAGUGCAAGAGUAACUGCUUGCACCUUGACGGUACCUAACCAGAAAGCCACGGCUAACUACGUGCCAGCAGCCGCGGUAAUACGUAGGUGGCAAGCGUUGUCCGGAAUUAUUGGGCGUAAAGGGCUCGCAGGCGGUUUCUUAAGUCUGAUGUGAAAGCCCCCGGCUCAACCGGGGAGGGUCAUUGGAAACUGGGAAACUU